RNAcentral lists this ribosomal RNA (460 nucleotides) under uncultured bacterium. RNAcentral describes it as "partial 16S ribosomal RNA". It matches the Rfam family "Bacterial small subunit ribosomal RNA", at positions 338 to 795 of the family's 1533-position model. The record is from RNAcentral.
CCUACGUGAGGCUGCAGUGAGGAAUAUUGGUCAAUGUGCGCGAGCCUGAACCAGCCAAGUAGCGUGAAGGAUGACUGCCCUACGGGUUGUAAACUUCUUUUAUCACGGAAUAAAGUGAGGCACGUGUGCCUUUUUGUAUGUACUUUAUGAAUAAGGAUCGGCUAACUCCGUGCCCGCAGCCGCGGUAAUACGGAGGAUCAGGUCGUUAUCCGGAUUUAUUGGGUUUAAAGGGAGCGGAGAUGGGUUGUUAAGUCAGUUGUGAAAGUUUGCGGCUCAACCGUAAAAUUGCAAUUGAUACUUGCAGUCUUGAGUACAGUUGAGGUAGGCGGAAUUCGUGGUGGAGCGGUGAAAUGCUUAGAUAUCACGAAGAACUCCGAUUGCGAAGGCAGCUUACUAAACUGCCACUGACAUUGAUGCUCGAAAGUGUGGGUAUCAAACAGGAUUAGAUACCCCAGUAGUC